GACGAACGCUGGCGGCGUGCUUAACACAUGCAAGUCGAACGGAAAGGCCCUGCUUUUGUGGGGUGCUCGAGUGGCGAACGGGUGAGUAACACGUGAGUAACCUGCCCUUGACUUUGGGAUAACUUCAGGAAACUGGGGCUAAUACCGGAUAGGAGCUCCUGCUGCAUGGUGGGGGUUGGAAAGUUUCGGCGGUUGGGGAUGGACUCGCGGCUUAUCAGCUUGUUGGUGGGGUAGUGGCUUACCAAGGCUUUGACAGGUAGCCGGCCUGAGAGGGUGACCGGCCACAUUGGGACUGAGAUACGGCCCAGACUCCUACGGGACGCAGCAGUGGGGAAUAUUGCACAAUGGGCGGAAGCCUGAUGCAGCAACGCCGCGUGCGGGAUGACGGCCUUCGGGUUGUAAACCGCUUUCGCCUGUGACGAAGCGUGAGUGACGGUAAUGGGUAAAGAAGCACCGGCUAACUACGUG
RNAcentral lists this ribosomal RNA (468 nucleotides) under uncultured bacterium. RNAcentral describes it as "partial 16S ribosomal RNA". It matches the Rfam family "Bacterial small subunit ribosomal RNA", at positions 28 to 507 of the family's 1533-position model. The record is from RNAcentral.